AUAUAAAUUAAUUUACUCUUUAAAAUUUUAUUUCUAAUGGCAUACCUAUGUAAUUACUUACAAACAUUAAGGUUAUAUUUAAAAUGUACUUCCCAAAUAAUAUAGUAGGAUCAUAGAUAGAAAAGAACCUUCUUCGCAGACAAAUUUAUUGAAAAGUAAUA
This 161-nucleotide small RNA is filed under the name Arabidopsis thaliana (thale cress). RNAcentral's name for it is "ATSL025020". Lineage: Eukaryota; Viridiplantae; Streptophyta; Magnoliopsida; Brassicales; Brassicaceae. The record is from RNAcentral.